RNAcentral lists this ribosomal RNA (245 nucleotides) under uncultured bacterium. RNAcentral's name for it is "partial 16S ribosomal RNA". It matches the Rfam family "Bacterial small subunit ribosomal RNA", at positions 524 to 768 of the family's 1533-position model. The record is from RNAcentral.
UACGUAGGGACCAAGCGUUGUCCGGAUUCAUUGGGCGUAAAGAGCGUGUAGGCGGCCAUUUAAGUCCUGCGUGAAAUCUCGGGGCUCAACCCCGAGCGGUCGUGGGAAACUGGAUGGCUAGAGUGCGGGAGAGGAGAGUGGAAUUCCUGGUGUAGCGGUGGAAUGCGCAGAUAUCAGGAAGAACACCCGUGGCGAAGGCGGCUCUCUGGAACGCAACUGACGCUGAGACGCGAAAGCGUGGGGAG